RNAcentral lists this small nucleolar RNA (132 nucleotides) under Castor canadensis (American beaver). Its description in RNAcentral is "Small nucleolar RNA SNORA51 (ENSCCNG00000016955.1)". It matches the Rfam family "Small nucleolar RNA SNORA51". From Rfam's summary of the family: ACA51 is a member of the H/ACA class of snoRNA that guide the sites of modification of uridines to pseudouridines. Lineage: Eukaryota; Metazoa; Chordata; Mammalia; Rodentia; Castoridae. The record is from Rfam by way of RNAcentral.
AGCAUCCUGAUGCUCACCAUUGACUGUGUUUUUACAAUGACUACAUAGAAAGAGGAGGCAAAGUAAGCCUACCCCAUAUACACUUCAGCCCAGGUCCUGUGCCUGCUCUGUAUCGUGAAAGGAGAGACAUGU